CUACGGGAGGCAGCAGUGAGGAAUAUUGCACAAUGGAGGAAACUCUGAUGCAGCAACGCCGCGUGGAGGAUGACGCAUUUCGGUGUGUAAACUCCUUUUAUAUGUCAAGAAAAUGACGGUAGCAUAUGAAUAAGCACCGGCUAACUCCGUGCCAGCAGCCGCGGUAAUACGGAGGGUGCAAGCGUUACUCGGAAUCACUGGGCGUAAAGGACGCGUAGGCGGGUUGGAAAGUCAGGUGUGAAAUCCUACAGCUUAACUGUAGAACUGCGCUUGAAACUUCUAAUCUAGAGUAUGGGAGGGGGAGAUGGAAUUAGUGGUGUAGGGGUAAAAUCCGUAGAUAUCACUAGGAAUACCUAAAGCGAAGGCGAUCUCCUGGAACAUUACUGACGCUAAGGCGUGAAAGCGUGGGGAGCAAACAGGAUUAGAUACCCCGGUAGUC
RNAcentral lists this ribosomal RNA (439 nucleotides) under uncultured bacterium. Its description in RNAcentral is "partial 16S ribosomal RNA". It matches the Rfam family "Bacterial small subunit ribosomal RNA", at positions 339 to 795 of the family's 1533-position model. The record is from RNAcentral.